This 3163-nucleotide long non-coding RNA is filed under the name Bemisia tabaci. RNAcentral describes it as "lncRNA ENSSSA3NGG007440". The record is from RNAcentral. Lineage: Eukaryota; Metazoa; Arthropoda; Insecta; Hemiptera; Aleyrodidae.
AUGUAUAAAGCGUCUGACAUGCAGGAUGCAAUGGAUAGUGUUAGAGGAGCUGCAGAUGGAAUACGCAUGAGCUGCAAAGCAGCUGCAAAGAAGUUUAAAGUACCGCGGUCGACUCUACAGAGAAAACUGAAAGAUUCCGGCUCCGCAGAGGAUAGAAAGGUCGGCCCAGAAGCAGUGUUGGGAAGAACAAAUGAGGAGACGCUAGUGCAGUGGGCCUUGCAUAUGUUCCAGUCAUUACAUUUAAGAAAGGUUAUAACUAAAUAAUGCACCUGAGACUGAUUGCAAGUAUAUUUUUAAAAGCUAAGUAGGUAGUAAAACUGCAAUAUUAUAGAAAAUUCUUGAUAAAUAUGUUUACUUAGUUGGUUUAUUUUAAGAAGUUUCAAUGUUCCUUUUGAUAUGAGAUUGUUGAAAGUAAUGAAUUACUCAUGGUUUACUUCAGGAUUUUUGUAUUCAAAGAGUUUAUUCUGUUCCACUGUGCAUUUCAUUUAAUUUUUUUGCUGUUUCUUAUUUUUGAUACGUUAAAAGUUUUAAACCAAUUCAAUUUUCUUCAAUUUAAAAUGUCCUACCUCCUAAAAAAAUCCAUUCUGAGGGAAAGUUAAUUCAUGCAGAACGUACAAACUCAGGUGAAGAAAGAGUUUUAAGAUACAUUUAAAACAACCUGUUUUGUUUUGAAUUUCACGACCGAAUUCAUUGCCUAACUGUAAAAUUUCAAUGGAAAAAAACAAUCUGGGUUCCACGACUUAGGGUCCUUUUUCGAGUGAAAGUAAAAAUCUUCAGGGGGUGCCAUGAACUGGGGCAGUUGGAUGUCAAUCACUGGUGCAUAGGUGUCAUUCACUGGUGCAUCAUGAAUUUUUUCAUUAAAACCAGUUAUUUUAACAUUUAUUUUUAAGAUUAAAACGAAUUUUGGUUUUAUUCACAAACUAGAAAGAUUUGCUGAAGAUUGAUUGCAAAAACUUAAAGAUUCAUCAAGUUUUGAAAUUAUGAGAACUAAUCAAAGUCAACCUCCACCACUAAGGUGCCAUUCAUUGGCGCAGUUACCUUACUUAAGUUUUUGGUAAGAAACCGCAAGUUCUUUAUCAAUUAUUUAACUUAUUUCUAUUGUUCCAUAGGUUAUGAAAACUUUUAAAGACAUAACUGAUGUAAUUAUGUAACUAAUUUCAUCGUAUUCAUAGUUAAAAAUUGAUUUUAAGAUUGUCCAGGGGUGGCAGUAACCAGUUCACUCAUUUUCUGGGAUCGCCAGUGAGUGCCAUAGGUGGCAUCUACCAGUGCAGGUUUUUUGGGAUGACUUAGUGAAUGCCACUCUGCUUUAUAACUUUUUCUUAGAUCAUCAAUGAAAAUGUUCCAUAUUCUUUUACAUAUUUGACUUCAAAAAUACCAAAUAGUGUACUAUAUAGGAUUACUAAAUCAUCAGUGUUGAUGUAACUCUAAGGAACACAAAUUUAAACUCUAUUCCUUGUGUAGAGAAUUGAACUCGUUGUUAACUUUGAGAAAGUUCGUUAAAUUUUCUCCUUUUUUGCUUUUCAGCCAUGGCCAGGGCCAGAAAGAAUCGAGCAAGCAAAGCUAAGAAAAGCGCCACCAAGAAGAAUAGAGAGCCAAAAUUUUCCUAUACAGUUGAUGCUAUAAGAGAUUGUGAGGCCAAUAAUCUCGUUGCUAUGCGAAAUUCCUGGCCUCGACUUCGUUGAUGAGUCAUCUCGAAAUCAAUAUCCCAGGCGCCCCAUAGUCGCCGAGAUUCCCCAUGCUUUGACGAAUUAAUGUCCUGCGCCGUCAAGCGCCCGAGAUGUCUUGACCAGCUCCCGACGCAUUCUAUUCACAUUCUUAAUUUAUCUCUCUUACUUAAAGUAUCUCUGCUCCGCAGCUCAGGUUUGUGCCCUCAAGCACUAUGUCACAAUUUAGUGACUCCGAUUGAGUCUCGUUAAGGCUCCGGUUACAAUUAGUAACUGCGAACGAGUUUCGUUACAACUCAAACCUUCGACGGUGUUACGCACAACACAACCAGUCCGAGUACUUUACACUCACUUCGUUUUACACGCGUUAAGUGUUAAAUCGGUGGUAACACGUAAGUUACAUUCGACCGCGUACGUUACACGCAAACCCGACCGCGUACGUUACACGCAACCCGACCGCAUACGUUACAUGCAAAACUUCAGCAUCAAUCGUUAUAUGGGGCGCUAAGACGUUACACCUCACUUUAAAAUGAUUCUUAUACUUUUGGGAACGCUCUGCUUUCUCACCUCAACGCUAGCAAUGGCCUUUCUUCAUCCGUCCUUGACAGGUUUUGAUUGCACCGAAAAUCCAAGCAGUGUGGUUGAAAUUUCCUUAAAUGAGAAUGGACUUAGCUGUUCCUACAGCCCCGGCAGAUGUGCUUCCAACAAAACCAAUAACUCCUAAAAAUAUUAUCCUUUCCGCAGUCCUCUACGAAAUUGGCAGAUUAAAAUCACUUGAAUCACCUACCCCAGUUUUCUUUUACGCCUGGGACCCCAAAACGAAAUUGCAAUUAUUAUUCUUUCCUUGUACCCAGAAUUAAAAUCGGAAUCAGAUCAUACUAUUGAGCUUAAUUUUCAACCAAAACUAAGCACAAUCAGAAUUUCAAGAUCUCAAGGCCCACCAAUAUUUUCUAUUGAACUAAUGGUCACAGAAGCUGAAGAACUUACUUUCAGGAUCCAUAAAUAAUUUUAAAAAUACCUGAUAUGUCCUCUUCUGAAGUUACCAAAUGCUAUUUUAGUCAGUGCAGUGAUACACAAAUCUUAAACUUUUUGAAUCAUAUUCUCCACUACAAACGUAUCCUUCCCCUUUCAAAUCAAUUUUGCACCUAUUUUUCAAUAAUUGCUUCCGCUGAAAAUUGCUCUUACAUGCGAAGCAAAAUUAUGAACUUUGUAGCUCGACCCUUUCCUAUCAAGAAAGUGUAGAAUCGCUUCUAAUUUACGAUGGUAAACUCUAUUUAAUGGUCAACUCUACCAAAUUUAGCCUAGUCAUUGAUUUCAUUAUUACAAAAAAUCACAAUAAUAUUUCUCUUUUGCACCAUUCAACAGACUCUAAUUUAACUGAUCCAACACUCCAUUCUUAAGACUUAUCUUCUUGCAAUGAUUUCUAUGGAAUUUAUCCUUUACCACUUGGAUCUGAUUCUCGAAAGAAUAAAAUUGGAUUUCUUCAACCCUCUCUUAUU